AGAAAAAGGAUUUAAUCAAGUUUUUUUGUUUUAAAGGUGUCCCUGGUUAAUUUUAAGCAGUGUGGGGCUAGCUUAAGUAAAACUUGUAAUAAAAAAGGGACAAGGUAAUGGUAAAGUGUUUUUGCAUAUGCGUUCUUUUAGAGUUAUAUUUUAGUCUUUGGAUCCUGACUAGAGAUAGUUUACACCCUAGACAUGAGAGAGAAUGGGUUUGGGAAAAACAGUCCUCCCGGACUCUCCACAGAUGCUUUGGAGAAAGAGAAAAACUUUUCAGGGCUCUCCUGGGAACAGAAGAAAGGCAGGAGACGUCCUGCCUCUCUGCUGGCUCCUAUUGGAGAAAUGCUUAUUUCUAGUUCUGGGUUCCAUAAGUAGGAUAUGUGGAUCCCUAUCGUGGGACACCAUCUAGUUUUUUCCCUCUAUGUCUAUUGUGUGUCCUUGGUGCACCAAGCUAUCCAUGUCUGUCAGUUUGUGUCUGUGGUCUUUGUUUCUCGUUGUUUAAAUGUUUUAUGUUUCGUGUUCAAAAGAAAAAAAUGAUAA
Molecule: long non-coding RNA, 534 nt
Filed under: Rattus norvegicus (Norway rat)
Lineage: Eukaryota; Metazoa; Chordata; Mammalia; Rodentia; Muridae
Description: long non-coding RNA NONRATT029893
Source: RNAcentral